UUAAUAACCUUGGCGAUUGACGUUACCCGCAGAAGAAGCACCGGCUAACUCCGUGCCAGCAGCCGCGGUAAUACGGAGGGUGCAAGCGUUAAUCGGAAUUACUGGGCGUAAAGCGCACGCAGGCGGUCUGUCAAGUCGGAUGUGAAAUCCCCGGGCUCAACCUGGGAACUGCAUUCGAAACUGGCAGGCUAGAGUCUUGUAGAGGGGGGUAGAAUUCCAGGUGUAGCGGUGAAAUGCG
RNAcentral lists this ribosomal RNA (238 nucleotides) under Acinetobacter baumannii. RNAcentral describes it as "partial 16S ribosomal RNA". It matches the Rfam family "Bacterial small subunit ribosomal RNA", at positions 455 to 690 of the family's 1533-position model. The record is from RNAcentral. Lineage: Bacteria; Pseudomonadati; Pseudomonadota; Gammaproteobacteria; Moraxellales; Moraxellaceae.